UGAGGGGCUGGGGGCGUGGCUCAGGGGUGGAGCUCCUGCUUGGAAUCCACCUGUGAUCAGAACAUGGAGAAGUCCACCCUGGUAUCUGAGAGAUACCAUCACGAUAUCUCUCAGGGAAGCGCAAUCUACUAACAUUUACUAUUGAAGUAUGCCACUAAGCUGAAGGGCACAAGCCAGCUCCAGUGGAAGAUCAGAGGCACACAGCUCUCCAGACACCCUGUGGCUGAAUCAGGUGUGGGAUUUUGAAGAAGUCAAGAUUCGAAGUACGGAGACCUUGCCCAAGAUGACACAUGAAGACAAAGGUAGAUCGAGAAAUGUCUAGAACCGGGAAAAAAGGCUCAUUUCCGUAUCUUUGGCAGAGAGCAGAUCUGAAAAUCGAGAACCGUCAGAAAUGGAGUGUCUGGGAUGGUUCAAGAGAGACGGAGAGUCAGCAGCACUGAGCACAUCUAUGUUGAAGAUGCCCCUGUUAUGGUUGAUGGGGACACAUUCAGAAGCACAGACAUUCUGGCCUUUGGACCACAGGACAGACACCUGCUUUGCCAUGUGUCCACAGGAGGUGAGACACUUGGACAUCAGGAUCUGCCUGGAGACCACUGGGCACCCAGGUCACCAUGCCAUUACCAUGGAUACCCUCCAGCCUCUCUGACUUGCCUUCCUCUAACACAGCUUUGCUGAGCUUCAUCAGAAACCUUUGGUCCAGGACUGGAGAGAUAACUCAGUUAAGGGCAUGUGCUGUUGCUCCAGAAGACCAGAGUUUGGUUCCCAGAACCCAUGCCAGAUGGUUCACAACCACCUGUAUCUCCAGCACCAGGGGAUCAGACACCUCUGGCCUCUGAGAGCAUACACACACACAUACACAUGAAUUAAAAUGAAUAAAUUGAUUACUAAUAAUUAAA
Molecule: long non-coding RNA, 896 nt
Organism: Peromyscus eremicus (cactus mouse)
Lineage: Eukaryota; Metazoa; Chordata; Mammalia; Rodentia; Cricetidae
Exons: 2
Source: RefSeq, a predicted model, not a curated record